GAUGGGCAAUGCCGCGUGAGAAGAAGGGUUUCGGCUCGUAAAACUCUGUUGUUAAAGAAGAACACCUUUGAGAGUAACUGUUCAAGGGUUGACGGUAUUUAACCAGAAAGCCACGGCUAACUACGUGCCAGCAGCCGCGGUAAUACGUAGGUGGCAAGCGUUGUCCGGAUUUAUUGGGCGUAAAGCGAGCGCAGGCGGUUUUUAAGUCUGAUGUGAAAGCCUUCGGCUUAACCGGAGAAGUGCAUCGGAAACUGGGAGACUUGAGUGCAGAAGAGGACAGUGGAACUCCAUGUGUAGCGGUGGAAUGCGUAGAUAUAUGGAAGAACACCAGUGGCGAAGGCGGCUGUCUAGUCUGUAACUGACGCUGAGGCUCGAAAGCAUGGGUAGCGAACAGGAUUAGAUACCCUGGUAGUCCAUGCCGUAAACGAUGAGUGCUAAGUGUUGGAGGGUUUCCGCCCUUCAGUGCUGCAGCUAACGCAUUAAGCACUCCGCCUGGGGAGUACGACCGCAAGGUUGAAACUCAAAGGAAUUGACGGGGGCCCGCACAAGCGGUGGAGCAUGUGGUUUAAUUCGAAGCUACGCGAAGAACCUUACCAGGUCUUGACAUCUUCUGCCAAUCUUAGAGAUAAGACGUUCCCUUCGGGGACAGAAUGACAGGUGGUGCAUGGUUGUCGUCAGCUCGUGUCGUGAGAUGUUGGGUUAAGUCCCGCAACGAGCGCAACCCUUAUUAUCAGUUGCCAGCAUUCAGUUGGGCACUCUGGUGAGACUGCCGGUGACAAACCGGAGGAAGGUGGGGAUGACGUCAAAUCAUCAUGCCCCUUAUGACCUGGGCUACACACGUGCUACAAUGGACGGUACAACGAGUUGCGAAGUCGUGAGGCUAAGCUAAUCUCUUAAAGCCGUUCUCAGUUCGGAUUGUAGGCUGCAACUCGCCUACAUGAAGUUGGAAUCGCUAGUAAUCGCGGAUCAGCAUGCCGCGGUGAAUACGUUCCCGGGCCUUGUACACACCGCCCGUCACACCAUGAGAGUUUGUAACACCCAAAGCCGGUGAGAUAACCUUCGGGAGUCAGCCGUCUAAGGUGGGACAGAUGAUUAGGGGAGUCGUA
Molecule: ribosomal RNA, 1106 nt
Filed under: Levilactobacillus brevis
Lineage: Bacteria; Bacillati; Bacillota; Bacilli; Lactobacillales; Lactobacillaceae
Description: bacterial SSU rRNA
Rfam family: Bacterial small subunit ribosomal RNA
Source: RNAcentral